GACGAACGCUGGCGGCGUGCUUAACACAUGCAAGUCGAACGGAAAGACCUCUUUCGGGGGGUACUCGCGUGACGAACGGACGAGUAACACGUAAGUAACCUGCCCAUCUCUAUGGGAUAACUUCAGUCAACAAAGGCUAAUACCUGAUAGAAGCUCCUGCUACCUGGUGGGGUUAGGAAAGAAUCGGGGUUUUGGGAUGGACUCGCGGCGUAUCAGCUUGUUAGUGGGGUAAUGGCUUACCAAGGCUUUGCCGGGAAGACGGCCUGUGAGAGUGAGCGGCCACCCUGGGUCUGAGAUACGGCCGAGACUCCUACGGGAGGCAGCAGUGGGGAAUAUUGACCAAGGGGUGGCAGCCUGAUGCAGAACCGCCGUGUGCGGGAUGACUGUCUUCGGGUUGUAAACCGAUUUCGCUCAUGACGAAGCUUUGUGUGACGGUAGUGGGUAAAGAAGCACCGGCUAACUACGUG
This 467-nucleotide ribosomal RNA is filed under the name uncultured bacterium. RNAcentral describes it as "partial 16S ribosomal RNA". It matches the Rfam family "Bacterial small subunit ribosomal RNA", at positions 28 to 507 of the family's 1533-position model. The record is from RNAcentral.